Molecule: unclassified non-coding RNA, 1623 nt
Filed under: Hevea brasiliensis (rubber tree)
Lineage: Eukaryota; Viridiplantae; Streptophyta; Magnoliopsida; Malpighiales; Euphorbiaceae
Source: RNAcentral
AAAAAAAAAAAAAAAAAAAGAACACACUCUAUUUCAAGUUUCAAGCCAGCAAUAUAACUGCUAGUCCUUUGGACCAAGCUAGAGUGUGACUUGUGAGAUCUGUUCAACAGAAUGUCAUCAGAGGUUCCUUAGUGCCUCACCAAAGAGUCAAUGCUUAUCAGAAUCUCCCCAGAUUUUCUCCUGAAGAUUCCCCUUAGAACUUCCCAUUUUCAAGUGUUCAACACAUUUUACCAGAAUCUGACCCAAAAAGGCAAUAACAAUUAUAGCUUCAUAGCCUCCUCAGAGUUUCAGUUUCUUAAGUUUCUCGCCGGAGACUUGCCAGAGAUUUCCUUCUUAACUUCCAUUCACUAGUAUUUUAUCAAAUUUAUAUCAGACAUAAACAUGGUCCUGACCAAAGUUCUGUUUUUAGCAGGAUUUGACUAGAUUUAUAAACUUUUUUUCUGCAGUCAUCAGUUGCCAUCUGAAAUAUACUUUUCAAAGGCACGUAUGGCUUUCUGUUAGGACUAUUAAUUUUCAUUCAGGCUCUGCAUUUUAUCUUUUCUCUUAAUUUAGCGUGCGCACCAUCAAAUUAUCCACUCAUCAUAAAUGUAACAGGAAUUAAAAGAGAAGCUUUUUAGUAACUAGGUUGAGGAUCAACUUCUUUUUAUUUUUUUACAAGUUUUUUUCUCCAAAAUCAGAGAGCAUAUUUAUUUAUCUAUCUUCUGUCCAUUUGCAAAAAUGGAUAUUAGUGUUCAGAAGGAAUUAGAAAAGCACACGGCUGCUAAAAUUAAAAGUAAAAUGUUUCAUCUUCUAUUCGAAGGUGAAACAAAAGAUCUACAGUUGAAGACCAAAUACAGUAGGAGGAGGUUGUCAUUAAUUUAAACAAGGACAAAAGACUUGUUUGUGCAGCCAUAAGAGUAGUUUUGGGCUGCAACCAGAUGUAAAGACUGUGGUGGAGAGGUUUCUGUAUUGCAAUGGGAAAGAAUAAAGUUCUUAAGAUGCAUCCUGUCAUUUUUUGGCUAGCUUGAAUGGAAACAAAUAAGAUUUUCAGGGAAAGGAAAAACUCCUCUGUGUUUUUACUUCUCAUAGAUUCGUGAAUUAGGACUUAGACAUUUAGUAUUGUGGUAAACAUUUUCUUUAAGCUAUUACAGAUUUUGUAGAUUCCUGCUGCAAAUCAAUUUCUAUUUCUUUGUAAUUGGGUGCCAAGCCAGCCCCCUAAAGCCUCGUAGUAGUUUUAUUUUACAAUAGAAUUCUAAGAAGGAAAAAUGUCUCUCUUUAGCCAAUAUGCACAUCCAUCCUUGUUACAGCAGUGAUCUAUCUCAGCCUAAAUUUAAUUACAAGGCCUUAAGUUUAAUUCUCUCCACAGAGACUCAUUAAGCCUCUCAAUCUCACCUUUAGUUGGUUAAUGUAAGUUAAAUAAAUUAUGUUAUUAUGAAAUACGUCACAUAACUCAUUAGCUGUCAAUCUAUUGAUUGUUAAAAUAAAUGACAUAAUGAAAAAGAUAAAUUGAUUGAUGAAUCAGAUUGUGAAGAGAAUUGCAAUUAAAUAUUGAAUCAAAUCAAUCAUUCACUGAAAGUAUAAGAAAGCAAAAAGAAUAUAAAAACCAUGAAUUGAAGGUCUCACAUUGGACAAGGCCAGUCAUUA